GCUACCCCUCCUAUACCUGGUAGAGAAAGGAGGCGUAUUAUAUGGACAUGUUUAUGUCUCUAAUUAUCACUAUUAUGGCUGAGAUAGUUUCAUACUAUAUCUGCAAAUGGCUGGAUAGAGAUAAUCACAGGUAGCCAGCCUGGGGACUAAGCCACCCUUCCACAACGGCAUAGAAAACCCCACGAGCCACCAACUCGUGGGGUUUUCGUUCAUUAUAU
Molecule: small RNA, 218 nt
Filed under: Lachnospira eligens ATCC 27750
Lineage: Bacteria; Bacillati; Bacillota; Clostridia; Lachnospirales; Lachnospiraceae
Description: Eubacterium eligens ATCC 27750 Streptococcus sRNA SpF66
Rfam family: Streptococcus sRNA SpF66
Source: Rfam by way of RNAcentral